UUGACUCUGUAUCUUGGGUGCCUUAUUUUGGAUCUAAGAUGAACCUUUGCUUGUUUGAGGGUUCAUGGUGUAGAAGUCAGAUGAAGUUUCAUGUGAUGACUAAGCUGCAUCUUGGGAGUAAAAUGACCUCGGGAAAAGGUCUGGACUUAUGUUCUAUGAUCAACAAAAAACAGAUUAUUCCAGGCUGUCUCUGACAUGAACUCAGUGGCUGGCUCUUUGAUCACCUCCCCUUCAGGGAGGAAGCAUCCUUACCAGGCCACAGAGGAAGACAAUGCAGCCACUCCUGAUGAGACCUGCAUUCUUCGCUCUAGGACACAGGGCAGGAUUUCUCUGGAAUGAAGAGGAGUCCAUUACUACCAAAUAAGCCUGGGUAAGAGAAUUUCUCUACAGACAGCACUAAGAAAACUGGGG
Meriones unguiculatus (Mongolian gerbil) is the source of this 411-nucleotide long non-coding RNA. RefSeq lists it as uncharacterized. NCBI's taxonomy places the organism in Eukaryota, Metazoa, Chordata, Mammalia, Rodentia, Muridae. The record is from RefSeq and is a predicted model, not a curated record. The transcript has 3 exons.